RNAcentral lists this ribosomal RNA (187 nucleotides) under uncultured Prevotella sp. RNAcentral describes it as "partial 16S ribosomal RNA". It matches the Rfam family "Bacterial small subunit ribosomal RNA", at positions 340 to 524 of the family's 1533-position model. The record is from RNAcentral. Lineage: Bacteria; Pseudomonadati; Bacteroidota; Bacteroidia; Bacteroidales; Prevotellaceae.
UACGGGAGGCAGCAGUGAGGAAUAUUGGUCAAUGGACGAGAGUCUGAACCAGCCAAGUAGCGUGCAGGAUGACGGCCCUAUGGGUUGUAAACUGCUUUUAUACAGGGAUAAAGUGCACUACGUGUAGUGUUUUGUAGGUACUGUAUGAAUAAGGACCGGCUAAUUCCGUGCCAGCAGCCGCGGUAAU